GUAAAAAUAAAAAUUAAAAAGAAAUUAAAUAAAAUUUUGAAAAAAAUAUUGGAGUAAGAAAAAUAAAAAUACAAAAUAUUCCCCAGUACGCUGGUCCACCGUUACCCUACAACAACUACAAAUAGUCUCUCUCCACCAAUUCCCUUUUCAUUCUUCCCAGUUCAGAAGCUACGUUACUUUCCAUGGCUGAAGCUUCCUCUUCUUUUUCUCUUUCUUCUUGGCUUGUCCCUCUUCUCUUUCUAUGCUCUGUUUUCCCUUUCACAUCACCUUCCACUAUCACUAUCCCUCUCUCUCUGUCCACCCAACAAUACCCUUCUUCAGAUCCAUUGAAAAUCCUCAAUCAUCUAUCUUCUCUAUCCCUCUCCAGAGCUCACCAUAUCAAGUUUCCCUAUACCAACUUCUCUGUCAUCGAAAUUCCUCUCUUCUCUCGCAGCUAUGGUGGGUAUUCCAUGUCCCUGAGCUUCGGUACUCCGCCGCAGACUGUCAAGUUUGUCAUGGACACUGGGAGUAGCCUUGUCUGGUUUCCCUGUACCUCUCGCUAUCUUUGCAACGGAUGUAACUUUCCAAACACCAAUUUAACUAAAAUCCCCAAGUUUAUUCCAAACCUAUCGUCUUCUUCCAAGCUUGUUGGCUGCCAAAAUCCCAAAUGUGCUUGGAUUUUUGGAUCAAAUGUGCAGUCUAAUUGUCAAGGUUGUGACCCCAGCAACCAAAAUUGUACCGAGGGUUGUCCUCCUUAUAUAAUUCAGUACGGGUUAGGCUCCACAGCAGGGCUUUUACUAUUAGAAUCUCUUGAUUUCCCGAAUAAAACCGUAGCGGAUUUUCUGGUUGGGUGCUCUAUCAUCUCCACCCGCCAACCUGAAGGAAUUGCCGGCUUUGGUCGCAGCCCGGAGUCUCUCCCUCUACAAUUGAAACUCAAGAAAUUCUCUUACUGUUUGGUAUCUCGCCGCUUCGAUGACACUCAGGUGAGCGGCGACCUUAUUCUGGAUAUGGGUUCGGAUUCAGGCGAUGCCAAGACCCCAGGCCUUCGCUACACACCGUUUGCAAAGAACCCGACGGGGUCAAACCGAGCAUUUAAAGAAUAUUACUAUGUAAUGCUACGAAAAAUCUUAGUCGGCGACCACCAUGUUAAAGUCCCGUACAAUAUCUCUGUGCCGCAAUCCGACGGCAAUGGAGGGACUAUAGUGGACUCAGGCUCAACUUUCACGUUCAUGGAGGGUCCAGUUUUUGAGUUAGUAGCCAAAGCAUUCGAAAAGAAAAUGGCUAACUCUACAAUAGCCACUGAAGUGCAGAAUCAGACAGGUUUAAGGCCGUGUUUCAAUAUUUCGGGCGAGAAAUCGGUUGCUGUCCCGGAAUUGAUUUUUCAGUUCAAAGGUGGUGCUAAGAUGCAAUUACCUCUGGCAAAUUAUUUUGCAUUUGUUGAUUUUGGUGUCGUCUGUUUAACAAUUAUCAGUGACAAUGCGGCUGCUCCGGGAGGUGGUGGCGGCCGCAGCGGACCGGCGAUUAUCUUGGGGAGUUUUCAGCAGCAGAAUUUUCACAUAGAGUACGAUUUGGAGAAUGAAAGAUUCGGAUUUAAACAACAGAGUUGUUCAUGAGCUGGUUUUUGUCCCUACUAGUUUGAAUAAAACAAGUCCCGUUAAUUGGCUUUGGACAUUAUGGUUAGAGGGUUAAUUCUCAUUAAUUGCAAGCACAUGGCAAUAAAAGUGGUGGUGGACAGAUACCCGACGCGGCCGUGGCGACAGCGAUGGCGUUGAUAACGGUAACAAAGGAAGGUGGAUAAUAGGCUGCGGCAAAUGGGUUGAAGUUUGGGCUGUCCGUUGAGUGGUGGUCUUGUGAUGUAGUUUGUAUUUCUCCUCAUAAUCCUCACCACAACCCAGCUCCCAAGCCUGUCUUGGAGAGAAGGGCCUCUUAACAACCAUUACUCUUCUUUCAUUAGCCGGAAAUUCGGCAAGUAAUUUUGUAUAAGUUAAGCCUGUCUUGUGCUCUUCAGCUUGUGUAAUUUAAGACCCACCUCAAACGAGUUGAUCUAGCUGCUGGUUUUAACAUUAAGAGUAAUAAUUUUUCUGCAUUUCAUCUGAUGGCAGAAUCAGGCUCUGUUUUGAAUUAAUAGAAGGUUUC
This 2115-nucleotide unclassified non-coding RNA is filed under the name Hevea brasiliensis (rubber tree). Lineage: Eukaryota; Viridiplantae; Streptophyta; Magnoliopsida; Malpighiales; Euphorbiaceae. The record is from RNAcentral.